CCAUUUUAAACCCACUUUCUUCAUCUAAAAUAUUCAUAAUAUCCUCAAAACCCCAAAUAUUAGGCCUGAAUCUCCCCUCACUUAUUCAAUAAUAGAUCUCACCGUCUUCUUUCCCUCUUCAGGCAAGAAUACAGACCCCUUUCACCAUGGAUGAAUUUUGCUUCUCCAUUUUUGUGUAAUGGCUAUGUCAAUCACUUGAAGGACCAAGUCCAUCCAAGCUCACAACUCCCAACGUUUCAAAUUCAAAUGACUGAAAAAGAUCCUUCCCAAAAUCAAGAACCCUAGUUCUUCACCUAUAAAUACUCAAUUUUUUAGUCCAAAAAAAAUUCGGCCACAUAUCCCCUCAUAAAGCUCGCUGUAUAACUUCUGCUUGCAUCUCUCUGUCUCGGCCUUUGGAUUUUAGUCUUGGCGAAGAUUUUUGGCCGGCCAUACACGAUUUCAAUUCUAGGCUCUAAAAUGCCCUAGUUCACUGCUCCACGCAAGGUCAGUAGUUGUCCUCUUAGUUCAUUUUAGUUUCUCAUAUAUUUUGCUUCUACGUGUAUAGCAACAUUUGCUAAUUUCCCUUUUUCUUUUAGUAUUUUGAGCAUAGUAUUGGUAGUCAGGAUAUCUAUUGUCAAAUCUUGAUGCUUUAAAACGUUUCAAGUUGUCAUCUUGCUCUUUUGAUUCUAUUAGAAAUCAUGUGCUAUCACCUUUUUUGCAUUAUUUUUCUGUCGCAAUUACCACUUAGGUCCUAGACACGUGACAAAUCACUGCUUGCCUAGUUUCUAUUUAGUUAUUAAUAAAGCAAAUUUAAGAUGUUAUCCUUCAGUCAUGUAUUGUAUAUUUAUUCAGAAAGAAGCCUUAUUCUAUAUAUUUUAACAUCUUUAGUCCCACGUUAGAGAAUGCAAUUGGAUUUAAAAGUCUUUAUUUGUCUCACGACCAAUGUUUUAUUUCACGUCUGAACUAGUAGUAGGAUAAUGAACUAGGCACUUAAGUUUUUUUUUUUUAGUCAUAAUGUUUAACUGCUAGGAAGGACCAACGUUUUGAAAGUGAUAAAAUGCUCUCAUUUAUAGAUCAGGUGUCAUUUUUUUCACUUUUUGCAAAGAAUGGUAAGCUUGCAAUAGAAUCCAUGGUUAGGCAAUCUAAAGGCGAUGUUGAAACAUUGGUUGGGACUACAAAAAUAAAUCACAGCAUAGGACACUCACUUAUUUAAACUGUUUCACCAUUGUGAAUACUUGCUUCUGGGCAAUUCCUUACCAACCCGCAAAUUCUUAAACAUUAAUUGCAAGCCUUAAUAUACAAGAGCUUUAUACGUUUCGAUUUUGCUUGUUCUUUACCUGUUUGGAAUUUACUUUAAAUAUUUCAUUUGGUAAAGAUACUUGUCAAGUCUCUUGUGUUCUUUCCUCGUAAUGAUAAGGUAGCAAAUACUCUAAGUACCUCCUGGCUUUUUGUACGAAUUUGAAUUUUUUCCUUUUUCCUUUAUAUGUGCAUUUUGAAAUUCCAAUAUUUUCUUUCUCGUAUGAUUGCAAUAUAUAACUAUCUUCAUUACUUAUUCUUUAUUUUCUCCUUUCUUUACAUGUACGUUUUGGAGCAAAUGGAGUCUUAAUCCAAGACUCUAGCUAGUGAAGUCUCAAAAUGAGACGACCUUACCCCUAAUCCGAGCAAGGAGAUAUAUUCUAUACCCUCAAGUCAAAUUCGUUAGCAAUUUAAAGCCUCUUAUGUUCCUUCAAUCUCUAUUUUCUUUGUAUACAUAUGUCAUAUUGUCUUUCAUUACUUUCUUUGGAGCGGGUACAAUGUUGGCUAACCAAGUGGAAUAUUUUGUGACUCAGAUGACGUUGGCAUCGAAUUUCUUGAAGACUCCUUCCUUAACUUUCAAACUAAAAUUAGGCUUCAUCUUUCUCAGCUUUUACUUUAUGAGAGGACAAGAUGGAUCAUUUGGCAACCUAUGAGCAACAAUAUCUAUGCUUAGACCCAUCAUAUCAUCAUAGGACCAUGCAAACACAUAUACCAAUUAAUUCAUUCCUUUGGGAUGGAGUCAAAUGAACGCUAAUCCUUGUUUCUCUUAUGAAAUCUGAAUUCCUUAAG
RNAcentral lists this long non-coding RNA (2064 nucleotides) under Capsicum annuum. Its description in RNAcentral is "long non-coding RNA (CANN_LNC011756)". Lineage: Eukaryota; Viridiplantae; Streptophyta; Magnoliopsida; Solanales; Solanaceae. The record is from RNAcentral.